Molecule: ribosomal RNA, 530 nt
Filed under: Lineus flavescens
Lineage: Eukaryota; Metazoa; Nemertea; Pilidiophora; Heteronemertea; Lineidae
Description: partial 16S ribosomal RNA
Rfam family: Bacterial large subunit ribosomal RNA
Source: RNAcentral
AGCCCAAUGUUUUUUUGUAUUGGGUGAUUUCUGCCCAGUGAAAUUUAAAUGGCCGCGGUAUCUUGACCGUGCGAAGGUAGCAUAAUCAUUUGCUCUUUUAUUGGGGGCUAGAAUGAACGAAAAUAUAAAAGUAUAGCUGUCUCUGCCGUAAAGCAAAAAUUGCUGGUUUUGUGAAGAAGCAAAAGUUCUUAAAAAAGACAAGAAGACCCUAUUAAGCUUUACUUUUAAGUCUAGUUUUUUUCCUUAAAAGAAAAAAAAACUAGACCGUGUUAGUUUGGUUGGGGUGACUUAAAAGGAGUAAAUCCUUUUUUUAUUUAUAAAACUUUUAGUUUAAAAAAGAUCCAGUUUUUCUGAUUCAUAGAACAAGUUACUAUAGGGAUAACAGCGUAAUUUUUUCAGAGAGUUCUUAUUGACGAAAAAGAUUGCGACCUCGAUGUUGACUUGUUGUUUCCUGUAAUGGUGUAGCAGCUAAAAGGGUUAGUCUGUUCGACUAUUAAAAUAAUACGUGAGUUGAGUUCAAACCGGUGUAA